CCUACGGGGUGCAGCAGUGGGGGAUAUUGCACAAUGGGGGGAACCCUGAUGCAGCGACGCCGCGUGGGUGAAGAAGCGCCUCGGCGCGUAAAGCCCUGUCAGCAGGGAAGAAAAUGACGGUACCUGACGAAGAAGCCCCGGCUAACUACGUGCCAGCAGCCGCGGUAAUACGUAGGGGGCAAGCGUUAUCCGGAUUUACUGGGUGUAAAGGGGGCGCAGACGGCGGUGCAAGUCAGGAGUGAAAGCCCGGGGCCCAACCCCGGGACUGCUCUUGGAACUGCGUGGCUGGAGUGCAGGAGGGGGAGGCGGAAUGCCUGGUGUAGCGGUGAAAUGCGUAGAUAUCAGGAGGAACACCGGUGGCGAAGGCGGCCUGCUGGACUGCAACUGACGUUGAGGCCCGAAAGCGUGGGGAGCAAACAGGAUUAGAUACCCUGGUAGUC
This 440-nucleotide ribosomal RNA is filed under the name uncultured bacterium. Its description in RNAcentral is "partial 16S ribosomal RNA". It matches the Rfam family "Bacterial small subunit ribosomal RNA", at positions 338 to 795 of the family's 1533-position model. The record is from RNAcentral.